AGAGGAAGGGAGGGACAAGUAACCAUGGAAAAUCAUUUUCACCUUCAACUAGAUUAGGGCAACUCUGGAAAAUGACACACAGUGCUGAUACAACCAAACUUCGGAAAGGGUCUAUAAAAGCUACAAGUUGUACAGGUGAAGCAUUCCUUCUAUGGUAACAGGAACUUCCUUGGUGGGUGCAUGUUUUCAAAAUAAUUAACAAAACAUGGUGGACAGAAACUAACCACCAGCACUUUUGGGGCACACAGCACAUAUCAGCUUACGAGCCUGCAGUCCGAGAGAGUUCGAAGCAGACUGUGCUCUUUGCUCUAAGCCCAUAGUUUACCUCUCUGCUGUGUUUCUGCAACAUUUUCUUUGCCUGAAACAGUACUUCACACUGCAGACUUUAGGAAUCUGUGCUUCCCUUUACAGCAUCUGCUCUAACUCAAACCAUGAUUAACCUAAGGUCUGAUGCAUAACUUAAGACUAUACAUGCUUUCCAACAAGCAGCAGUGCGAUGUGGGCCACAUUCUUUGCCAUGAAGUUUGGGGUUCCUGCCUGCUGGUAAUGGGGACAGCUGUGCUGGUAACCUAGACCUUGGCUGCUCUCUUUCAGUGGUGCCCCAGAUGAAGCCACAGUAAGAUUGCACAACUGCAAAAAAUAUUUUUUGGCUCAUCUGGUUUAGAAAAAAAAUGAGUGUGGAAAAACACAUGGGUGGAGUCACCCCCAAUGGGGAAUAGGCACUGUCCUCAGCCUCAGCUAAGUUCUGUUGUUGACGUGAUUAUGGCUGCAAACUUGCAAAUGCUGCUUCUCUCUGGGAUCAAAGAGCCGGGCAGCCUAUCUGAUUUACCGAAUAAAGCUCGUUCAGGACCUUCAUCAAAUCAUCUUGGAGCUGCUGGCCAACUUCUUUACUCUGUAAAGAGAAGAGGAAGGAAGGUUAAUUGAAAAACAGAAGGAGAUGGGAGGUGGCACAAAGGCAAGAGCAGCACAGGCUCUACAAACGACACAGACUCAAUGACAGCCCAUUAUUUAACCCAGCCAAUCCGAUAACCAACUACGGCCCGAUUACUCCAAGAGUUUUAAUAAAUGAAACGAGCUCUUUCUAUAGAAAGAGGUAAAGCUAGCCAAUCAUGAAAGACAGAGGUGGGACCCUCUCCAAUGGAAAAGACAGUCAGCACCUGCUUUAGAAGAAAAACCAAGAACAUUUCCUGGCUUUGUGUGCUUGAUCAAGAAUAAAAUUUCUCUUGUUCACCCUUGAUCAAUAUAAAAGUUUUGCCUAUAAAGACACUUUAGUUGGAA
This is a long non-coding RNA of Peromyscus eremicus (cactus mouse), 1278 nucleotides long. RefSeq lists it as uncharacterized. NCBI's taxonomy places the organism in Eukaryota, Metazoa, Chordata, Mammalia, Rodentia, Cricetidae. The record is from RefSeq and is a predicted model, not a curated record. The transcript has 2 exons.